GAUGAACGCUGGCGGCGUGCCUAAUACAUGCAAGUCGAGCGAACAGACGAGGAGCUUGCUCCUCUGACGUUAGCGGCGGACGGGUGAGUAACACGUGGAUAACCUACCUAUAAGACUGGGAUAACUUCGGGAAACCGGAGCUAAUACCGGAUAAUAUAUUGAACCGCAUGGUUCAAUAGUGAAAGACGGUUUUGCUGUCACUUAUAGAUGGAUCCGCGCCGCAUUAGCUAGUUGGUAAGGUAACGGCUUACCAAGGCAAGGAGGCGUAGCCGACCUGAGAGGUGGAUCGGCAGCCUGGAAGCGAGGACGCGGCCCAACACCGGAGGGGAGAAACGGGAGGGAAUCCUACGGGAAGGGGGAAAGGCGAACGGUGCAAACGCGCGUGAGUGAUGAAGGUCUUCGGAUCGUAAAACUCUGUUAUUAGGGAAGAACAAAUGUGUAAGUAACUAUGCACGUCUUGACGGUACCUAAUCAGAAAGCCACGGCUAACUACGUG
This 496-nucleotide ribosomal RNA is filed under the name uncultured bacterium. RNAcentral's name for it is "partial 16S ribosomal RNA". It matches the Rfam family "Bacterial small subunit ribosomal RNA", at positions 28 to 507 of the family's 1533-position model. The record is from RNAcentral.